UUGUCUAAUGAUAAAAAACUUAGUAAUCAUACCAUCUUUCGGGAUGGGUCAGUCGAUAUGUAGCCAGGCUGUUAUUCUGCAAUUCUGAGACCA
Molecule: small nucleolar RNA, 93 nt
Organism: Lolium rigidum
Lineage: Eukaryota; Viridiplantae; Streptophyta; Magnoliopsida; Poales; Poaceae
Product: small nucleolar RNA SNORD96 family
Exons: 1
Source: RefSeq, a predicted model, not a curated record